UAGAGCAUGAGACUCUUAAUCUCAGGGUCGU
Molecule: non-coding RNA, 31 nt
Filed under: Callithrix jacchus (white-tufted-ear marmoset)
Lineage: Eukaryota; Metazoa; Chordata; Mammalia; Primates; Cebidae
Also listed under: 4 other names
Source: RNAcentral